RNAcentral lists this long non-coding RNA (674 nucleotides) under Prunus persica (peach). Its description in RNAcentral is "long non-coding RNA (PPER_LNC003631)". Lineage: Eukaryota; Viridiplantae; Streptophyta; Magnoliopsida; Rosales; Rosaceae. The record is from RNAcentral.
GGAAAUAGGGUGAGUACUUGCAAAAGCCACUCUGACGCUCAAGUCAGUGUUUUGGCGCUUGCACUUGAGCUGACCUUGCGGACCCCAAUACCCUGAGCCAUCCUUCCGGUCCCAUGCACCCUCAGUUUCUUAACUGAUCCAAGGUUUUCUUUUUUUGGCUCUUGCGAUUGAGCAGACCUUGCGGACCCCAAUACCCCUGAGCCGUCCUUCCGGACCCAUGCGCCAUCGGUUUCUCAACUGAUCCAAGGUGUCCAUGACUUUUUAUUUUAUUAUUAUUUUUUUCUUGGAGCUUGCGGUGGAGCUGACCUUACGGACCCCAAUACCCCUGAGCCGUCUUUCCGAACCCAUGUGCCUUCGGUUUCUCAACUGAUCCAAGGUAUCCAUGACUUUUUAUUUUUUUCUUGGAGCUUGCGGUGGAGCUGACCUUGUGGACCCCAAUACCCCUGAGCCGUCUUUCUGGACCCAUGCGCUUUCGGUUUCUCAACUGAUCCAAGGUGUCCAUGUCUUUUUUUAUUUUUUGCCCUUGCGCUUGAGUUGACCUUGUGGACCCCAAUACCCCUAAGCCGUCCUUCCGAACCCAUGCGCCUUCGGUUUCUCAACUGAUCUAAGGUGUCCAUGAAAUAUAUAUUUUUUUUUGGCGCUUGCGCUUGAGCUAACCUUGUAGGGCCCACUAC